RNAcentral lists this long non-coding RNA (561 nucleotides) under Rattus norvegicus (Norway rat). RNAcentral describes it as "long non-coding RNA NONRATT003899". The record is from RNAcentral. Lineage: Eukaryota; Metazoa; Chordata; Mammalia; Rodentia; Muridae.
CUUCGAGUCUCCAGGGGCCUCCUGGGAAGCCAGGGUUCAGUACUGUGUACCAGAGAAAAGGGUUUGUCAGGGCCAUACAGCCAUUAGGUCAGGGGAAUACAGACUGAUUGGAAGUCUUGACUGUUGAAGAUCAGAGCUCUGAGAAACAGGCUGUGUCACGGAGGCAUGCGUGUAGAGCCAUAGGCUGUCACGGCAUAGGCGUGCAUGUGUGAAUGUGUGAACCAGUGCACUUCAGACCUUAGAGUGAAAAGAAUCACCUUGGAUCGUAGUGUGGUGCAUGCUGCCUCAGGAGGCCUGGAGAGGGACUGAGGAAGGCCUGGCCGUCGUGGUCACACUUAGUGUCUGCCUGCCCUUGCCCGUAGAUGUGGAGAAGGGCUGCCACUUGAUGCACGUCCUGAACUGCGUGCUCCUCAACCUCCGCUGGGACCUGAACAAGGCUGUGCUGCAGCAGGUGCUGGAGCUCCUGGAGGACCAGAGCGACAUUGUGAGUACUGGAGACCACUACUACACGGCCUUCUGAGCAGAGCCACGGAGAGGCAGCAGGCAGCUUUACCCCAGGUU